This 433-nucleotide ribosomal RNA is filed under the name uncultured bacterium. RNAcentral's name for it is "partial 16S ribosomal RNA". It matches the Rfam family "Bacterial small subunit ribosomal RNA", at positions 29 to 507 of the family's 1533-position model. The record is from RNAcentral.
AACGAACGCUGGCGGCAUGCCUAACACAUGCAAGUCGAACGAGACCUUCGGGUCUAGUGGCGCACGGGUGCGUAACGCGUGGGAACCUGCCCUUAGGUUCGGAAUAACUCCCCGAAAGGGGUGCUAAUACCGGAUAAUGUCUUCGGACCAAAGAUUUAUCGCCUUUGGAUGGGCCCGCGUUGGAUUAGCUAGUUGGUAGUGUAAAAGCCUACCAAGGCGACGAUCCAUAGCUGGUCUGAGAGGAUGAUCAGCCACACUGGGACUGGGACACGGCCCAGACUACUACGGGAGGCAGCAGUGGGGAAUAUUGGACAAUGGGCGAAAGCCUGAUCCAGCAAUGCCGCGUGAGUGAUGAAGGCCUUAGGGUUGUAAAGCUCUUUUACCCGGGAUGAUAAUGACAGUACCGGGAGAAUAAGCACCGGCUAACUCCGUG